GUGAAUUGCAGAAUUCAGUGAAUCAUCGAAUCUUUGAACGCACAUUGCGCCCGCUGGUAUUCCGGCGGGCAUGCCUGUUCGAGCGUCAUU
Molecule: ribosomal RNA, 90 nt
Filed under: salal root associated fungus UBCtra1254C
Lineage: Eukaryota; Fungi; Ascomycota
Description: partial 5.8S ribosomal RNA
Rfam family: 5.8S ribosomal RNA
About the family: 5.8S ribosomal RNA (5.8S rRNA) is a component of the large subunit of the eukaryotic ribosome. It is transcribed by RNA polymerase I as part of the 45S precursor that also contains 18S and 28S rRNA. Functionally, it is thought that 5.8S rRNA may be involved in ribosome translocation.
Source: RNAcentral